Long non-coding RNA from Phasianus colchicus (ring-necked pheasant), 2251 nucleotides. RefSeq lists it as uncharacterized. Lineage: Eukaryota; Metazoa; Chordata; Aves; Galliformes; Phasianidae. The record is from RefSeq and is a predicted model, not a curated record.
GCGCGGGGUUUGGUGAGGGAGGUUCGCUGCCGAGAGACAACGGCAGCCCCCGCUCAGCUGGUCGCAGCUCCCGUGCCCGGGGGGCGGCACUCGCCGCCUUUUUCACGUGGCUGGUGAUGCAACCGGGCGUUAAACGGCUUUCGUGCCAACCUCUGGAAGGGCCGGUUCCGAGCCUGCCGAAACGCACCGAAACGCGACCUUAGGCGCCUCCCCCACCCCGCUUUGUCCCGGGCCCCUCCCCGCCCCCCGCACGCAGCCCCUCCCGCCGAGCGCAGCGUCCCGGGGAACGAACCUGCGGGCCGCGCCGCGCUCCGCCCCGUGGGCCGAAGCGGCCAGACCUCUCCCGUGAAAGGCGAGGAGCGCCGCCGCCCCCGAGCUGCGGGGCCGCGUGCCGGCCUACGGAUCGCUUCCAUUGUGAUUCGUCCCAUUCGGAGAAAGCGGCAUUCUCCAGUCCACGUUUGCCCCUUCCGCUGUCGUACAAGAACUGCCUUGGGCGGACAUUAAAGCUCUGCCGAUGAAGCGCCCCGUCUCACAAGAGCGCAAGGCGCUCCCACCGCCCGACCGCUUCCUCCAGGGCUGAGGUCCUCGCUGCCCCCAGGCCCUGCGUGCCUUACAGCUGGAACUUCAACUGCGAGGUCCAGGGAGAACAACCAGGCAGUGUGAGAUCAUGCUUUUAUGGCUGAAAGAAGCCUCGCUGCCAUGAGGACUUUCUGAAUUUGGAAUAAGCUCACACUUCAGUUUUGAUUUGUGAUGAAUCUUAUUCAUGUAUUGGAUGUUCUCUGCUGUGCUGUUUUCAUCAAUCCAAUAUGUCAAAUUUUAUAGAUAUCAAAAAUCUAUCCCAAUCUGCUGAAACCAGAGAAAGGAAAAACAAGUUGUGCUGAACACUCCUCCCUGGUGUGAGAUAAAAAGUGAUAAGCUGACUUUCAUUGAAACUCAUGUUUUCAUCUGUUAGCUAUCAUUGAUUUCACAAACUGCAUCAAACCUAUCCCAUAGCAAAUUUAAUAUCAGUAAUCCAAGAGAUCAAUGUAUUUAAGAUGUGGUCUAAGAACAAGGCAAGGAGUAAAACUUACAUUUGUAUCAUUUUAAUAAUCAGACACCAUUUUUUAUCUCUGCAAUAAUUAGAACAAGCUGAACAGGAAGAAGAAAAAAGAGAUAAAUGUUCGACACUUCAGCAACUUUACCAUCAUCAACAUGUCUCAAUUUUAAAAUAGUAAAGAAAAGCAUAGGGGAUCCCCUUUAUACCUGACUUAGCUGAGAUCACCUCUGAGCCACAACACACCAUCUGUGUACCACCACCAUUCAAUACCACAGAACAGAAUAACAGACAUAAAUAUGCCAUCUAUUUGAAACUGCAGGAACUCUGUAAGCAGAGUGCUGUUAUCUGAAUUGGAAUUUGACCAGGAUGUUUACUUACGGAUUUUAACAAAAUAAUUGCAGUAUGCUCACCAAGAAAGAAGACAUUUCCAAGGAACAGCAUCAUUCAUGGCCUCCACUCAUGGGUAAAGCUGGAGCUGCAAGAACAAAAUGCCCCACAACAGAACCCCGGGGGUCUCUGCUCUGUUGCACAAUGACAGCCGGAGCUCCGGAAGGAAUUGUUCUGGUUUGGAACUGGGCUACGAUUUUCCAGGUUGAGACAGAACUAACAUCAUUCAAGAAUUUGUAAUACGAGACUUGAGCAUUUUAUUUUGUUUGGUAGCUGAGCUUCUCUUGGGAUAUCUUAUUCACAGUCAGGUCCCUAGUAUAAGUGAUACCAGCAAAAUCCAAAUCAUCCAACAUUGUACUGUAUCUUCCUUAAGGGAAAUGGGGAUAGAGGCAGAAAGGGAAAGAAGGUUGUUUCUUUUAGCAGGAAAAAUGUACUACAAAACUACAGUAAUUUUCAAUUCCUACCUGUUUACCUUCACCCCAAUACAUGAACAUGAGAAACCUACCAACUAGCUGGCCUGUAUUAGGGUUUCAGUACAGUAAGUUAUUAUGCAUCACCUAGAAUAACCGUUUUACUUAGAGCAAAAAAAGGGCAUUUCCUCAAAUACAUUAACUGCAAAGUUCACUUAACGUGAUGGAAUCAUUUUGAGGUGCAGAACCGAACCCUUGAAAAUAUUCACUGAAAAAGUAAAUUUUAAUUUGACUUUAUUAUAAAGAAAAGUUUAAAAAGCUAUCGGUAAAUGUAAUAUUUCAACUAAAAAUUAAUUACAACAUUUUAGUUAUUCCAGAUUUAAAAAAUAAACAAACAGACAAAAAAAAAAAAAAAAAA